Molecule: ribosomal RNA, 613 nt
Filed under: uncultured bacterium
Lineage: Bacteria
Description: bacterial SSU rRNA
Rfam family: Bacterial small subunit ribosomal RNA
Source: RNAcentral
AAGGUAACGGCUUACCAAGGCAAUGAUGCAUAGCCGAGUUGAGAGACUGAUCGGCCACAUUGGGACUGAGACACGGCCCAAACUCCUACGGGAGGCAGCAGUAGGGAAUCUUCCACAAUGGACGAAAGUCUGAUGGAGCAACGCCGCGUGAGUGAAGAAGGGUUUCGGCUCGUAAAGCUCUGUUGGUAGUGAAGAAAGAUAGAGGUAGUAACUGGCCUUUAUUUGACGGUAAUUACUUAGAAAGUCACGGCUAACUACGUGCCAGCAGCCGCGGUAAUACGUAGGUGGCAAGCGUUGUCCGGAUUUAUUGGGCGUAAAGCGAGUGCAGGCGGUUCAAUAAGUCUGAUGUGAAAGCCUUCGGCUCAACCGGAGAAUUGCAUCAGAAACUGUUGAACUUGAGUGCAGAAGAGGAGAGUGGAACUCCAUGUGUAGCGGUGGAAUGCGUAGAUAUAUGGAAGAACACCAGUGGCGAAGGCGGCUCUCUGGUCUGCAACUGACGCUGAGGCUCGAAAGCAUGGGUAGCGAACAGGAUUAGAUACCCUGGUAGUCCAUGCCGUAAACGAUGAGUGCUAAGUGUUGGGAGGUUUCCGCCUCUCAGUGCUGCAGCUAACGC